Molecule: long non-coding RNA, 1327 nt
Organism: Drosophila ananassae
Lineage: Eukaryota; Metazoa; Arthropoda; Insecta; Diptera; Drosophilidae
Exons: 2
Source: RefSeq, a predicted model, not a curated record
GAGGGUACGAAUAUGAUUUUUAUGAAAAAUAAACAGAAAAGUUAAACUCUAAAGGUAAACAAACCAUAGUCGAUAGUUAGUAGUCGAAUAAAAAUAAGUCGAUAACAGAUCGCUGUUACAGCCCUUUAAAGCUGUUAAGGCAAACAAUCCGGCAACCCCAUCCAUCUGGCAAUUUUGACAACUGAAUUUCCGCUUGCUUGGCUGGUUCUUUUGCAAUCAAAACGCCAAAGUUAGAAGUUGUCUACAACCAAAAGAAAUAGUGAAUAUCGCCAACGUGGAAACUGGGAUAGUACCGAACACGGUACACCAGGAGACUGAGAUCAGAAGCCGAACGUUGGCUGUGGAUGAGCCCAGCCGUUCGCCGCUGCACGUGUGUUGUGGUUGUGGCGAAAAAGACUCCAGGAAGUGUUAGGAAACCCCCCCGAUCGUUUACGUAGCGCUCGCCAAAAGCCUACGUCAAGCCACCGAUCGAGUUUCGACCCAGAGGUCUACGGCGGAGACACCGCGUGGAUCAUCGGCCAGGGAUCCAGGAAAAGCUUUCCUCGAUCAGCCCCUAAACGUGCGCGAACCCGGUCCAGACUCGAACCGCGAUCGGCGAGGUCUGUGACCGGCGACGUGUGCGUGAUUGGGGCCGCAGAAGAUCAGGAGCGGCUGGAACCUGGCCAACCCAGGAGCGUGGAGGACAUAACCUCACUUUCCGGCGCAGAACCGCAUGUUCGUUUGAGCCGACCGCAUUUAACCUGAUGGGCUAGCCGACGAUCGCUGAGGCAGACAUCUCGUCCAUAGUGACGAUUCAACGAGAACAACAACAACCAGGAGAGAGGCGCGACAAGCUGUGCCAGGAUUAGUGUAUUAUUGAGUAGAAUUUAAUUUUCAUUAUUUUUGUUUUGUAAGUCAUUUUGGAUCGUACAUAGACUCAUCUUUUGUUUUCUGUAGAGCAUUGAUAAGAGGCACAUGUACAUCAAAACUCCAUAAUAUAAUUCGCAUUUAACCUGAUCACCCCAAAACAUCCAGCGUUCUCGUCUACAGGCCUGCGGACUUCGAGGGAUGGUUUCGUGAGUAAACAUUGUCAUGUAACAAACUUGAUCAUGUAACAGUGCCUCUAGAGGAAAACAUAUGAAUAGUCAGUCCAUAUCAAAAUGAUUGGGUAGACGUUAUAACUUAACUCCUACUUCACAUUCAUACAUAUAAUUCUUUAUCCACACAUUUUUACAUUAUAUUCCAAUUUGUUAAUUAAGCUAGAGUAAACUCAUUUUAUAGGAUUAGGACCAAUUAGGAGUAAGGGUUUAGGUUAAGCAUGAGUCUGAAGAAGAAGCUAUUAUGAUUU